GAGCGUGGACUAUAUUUUUAGGUUUACUUUGCAGAGGUAAUUUAAGGGGUUGUCCCUCGCGCUUU
Molecule: transfer RNA, 65 nt
Filed under: Cotylurus marcogliesei
Lineage: Eukaryota; Metazoa; Platyhelminthes; Trematoda; Diplostomida; Strigeidae
Description: tRNA-Cys
Source: RNAcentral